This is a long non-coding RNA of Falco peregrinus (peregrine falcon), 1488 nucleotides long. RefSeq lists it as uncharacterized. The record is from RefSeq and is a predicted model, not a curated record. NCBI's taxonomy places the organism in Eukaryota, Metazoa, Chordata, Aves, Falconiformes, Falconidae. The transcript is spliced from 3 exons.
CGGGACUCCUAUGGUUCAACAGCAGCAGCUCUCAGCAAACACGCAGAAAAGUGAGGCCCUUUCUAGUGUUUUGGAGUAAGCAGUGCCGGCUAAGUCCCAGAUGCUAUAGCUGUGGCUUACAGACACUCCCAUCCCCAGCUGGAGGAUGCUAUGUUAAGGGACUGCCACCUGGCAGCAUCUUCAAGGAACUGCAAAAACGCUAAAGGAGAGAUGGAGGUUGGUGAGUAUCAGCCUACUGGGAGACUUGGAGGUGCACCCAGAAAGGAGAGAUGAGAGUUGAGCCAGACUGGUGCCGACUGAACUACCUGGAGUUAAGAAGCUGCUGCUGUGAUAAAAGACAGUAGGUGGUUGAAGAAGCCUGAGCUAGCUGUACUCUGUCAUUGCCCCUUUUCAGGUAAGAGCUAAGAUCUUGCUUUGUGAAGAUACACGCAGGGAGGCAGGUCCCACUUUGUCCCCACACUCCUAGGAAAGCAGGGAAGACCAGAGGUGACAACUUUACUGAAGAGUGGUGUGGGAUGAAAAGAACAAUAAAUAAUCUCCCUUGGCCAAGACCUAGUAACCCAACUUCUUUAAUUCUGAAGUCUUCAGUAUGGUCCCCUUGCCUGUGCUACCCUUUUUUCUGUCUUGUGACAAGCCAGCAGACAUAACAAGAGCAACUCCGCAGCACACACUCCGGAUGUUCCCCCAAAUAAGUCUCUUGGCCAGCUUGCCUAAAGCUUUCUAAACCAGCUGAGUUUGAAAGCAAGCACACAGUAAGCAGUAAAUAAUUUCUCUAACAUUUCAGAAGACAUCAGUUGUCCUACCCUUUGGAAAGUAUCCUCUGCUGCCCAAUAGCACAGGAAACAAGCUUCCAAACUUUUGUUUGUAAAGAGAGACCUGCAUAAACAAGAAAAAUUUGAGGCUUGGCUUAGCUGAGCCUGAGAGCCUUUUGCCAAUAGUCGCUAUACUUAGUGGGUGAAGGGCCCCUGACCAGCAAAUGAACUCCAGUCAUUACUCUUGGUAAUAGUAAGCUUGGGUUAUCUUUCCAUAAUUUAAGUACAAAUUUUCAUACAGAGAAAAGCUCAAGAGAGAUUGAGAGCUGGAGAGAUCGAGGUCCUUUUCAUUUUUAGAGCCAGCACAAACAGUAGGCUAAGGUCCUGAAAUACACCACUAACGUAUCUUCAGCUCUGGUCACCUCUUAGGACCGUUGCUAGAUGUGACAGCUCAGCUAAGCCUGCUCAGCCAAGAAUGCCCUAUGUGUGCUCAUAUGUUGAGGCUAUGAAGGAUUUUGUCAAUGAAUAUCAAAUCAACAUGGUUUUUUUUUUUCAAGAAAGAUAUGAGAAAAGCUGACACUGAUAUUUACACAAGUCACCAGACAGACACUGACCAGAAGCCAUAGUUGGUGACCUGGAUGUGAAAGUAUCUGUGUACCUCCCCGCAGAUGCCCCAUGCUUCUGAGAUCCCUCUCAUCCCCCAAAAUUUGUAGAGCUGAAUUCAGCAGGGAAGGUC